UACGUAGGGGGCAAGCGUUGUCCGGAUUUAUUGGGCGUAAAGAGCUCGUAGGCGGUUUGGUAAGUCUGGUGUGAAAUCUCCACGCUCAACGUGGAGGGGCCACCCGAUACUGCCAUGACUGGAGUCCGGUAGAGGAGUGUGGAAUUCCCGGUGUAGCGGUGAAAUGCGCAGAUAUCGGGAGGAACACCCGUAGCGAAGGCGGGUCUCUGGGCCGAUACUGACGCUGAGGAGCGAAAGCGUGGGGAGCGAACAGG
This 254-nucleotide ribosomal RNA is filed under the name uncultured bacterium. RNAcentral's name for it is "partial 16S ribosomal RNA". It matches the Rfam family "Bacterial small subunit ribosomal RNA", at positions 524 to 776 of the family's 1533-position model. The record is from RNAcentral.